RNAcentral lists this ribosomal RNA (497 nucleotides) under uncultured bacterium. Its description in RNAcentral is "partial 16S ribosomal RNA". It matches the Rfam family "Bacterial small subunit ribosomal RNA", at positions 28 to 507 of the family's 1533-position model. The record is from RNAcentral.
GAUGAACGCUGGCGGCGUGCCUAAUACAUGCAAGUCGAGCGAACAGACGAGGAGCUUGCUCCUCUGCCGUUAGCGGCGGACGGGUGAGUAACACGUGGAUAACCUACCUAUAAGACUGGGAUAACUUCGGGAAACCGGAGCUAAUACCGGAUCAUAUAUUGAACCGCAUGGUUCAAUAGUGAAAGACGGUUUUGCUGUCACUUAUAGAUGGAUCCGCGCCGCAUUAGCUAGUUGGUAAGGUAACGGCUUACCAAGGCAACGAUGCGUAGCCGACCUGAGAGGGUGAUCGGCCACACUGGAACUGAGACACGGUCCAGACUCCUACGGGAGGCAGCAGUAGGGAAUCUUCCGCAAUGGGCGAAAGCCUGACGGAGCAACGCCGCGUGAGUGGUGAAGGUCUUCGGAUCGUAAAACUCUGUUAUUAGGGAAGAACAAAUGUGUAAGUAACUAUGCACGUCUUGACGGUACCUAAUCAGAAAGCCACGGCUAACUACGUG